Long non-coding RNA from Ahaetulla prasina, 496 nucleotides. RefSeq lists it as uncharacterized. The record is from RefSeq and is a predicted model, not a curated record. The transcript is spliced from 5 exons. Lineage: Eukaryota; Metazoa; Chordata; Lepidosauria; Squamata; Colubridae.
GUUUCUUCUCUUCUAAGACAACAACUGGUUGAUCGUUCAAUGUUGCUGGCACAAGUUUCAGGACAUACGGCUCUGCAGAUGCUAUAGCUGUGGAUCAAAGUCUAUUUUUUUAUAUUGAUGGCUUGCUCCCUGUUUGGUCUGGUUCUUGUGAACUGGUAGUAAAAGCUGCAGGAGACUCCGCCCACCCACCUGGACGUCAUCUUGGACGAUCUGUGCAUGCGCAGAAGCUUCUGUGCGCACUCCCUUUGUGAACCGGUAGUAAAGGAAAUGACCUUGCUGAAACGGUGGAUCCUGUACUGCUGGGAAAUCUUUUGAAGAUGCUCGUCUUGUUUGUGAAAGGAAUAAUCUUUUAUCUCACCGCGCUUCUCGGCUUGAGUGUUGGAAAUCAGGGAGUAGGAAAUAGUGGAAUGUUCCAGUUUGCUGAGCUGACUGCAGUGCACAAAGAGCAAUGGAGGAAAAAUUAUCUGAUAUAGGAUGCAGUGAAAAGAAAGUGCAG